AUGGGCAAUUUCCACAAUGCGGCCAUGUUCAAGCACUCGUAGAAUUGGCCAUUGUUGCAAGUUCCAUCACCAAAGAAGGCUAGAGUGACAUGAUCACAUUCAGCGCCCUUCAAGACCUCCUUUCUGUACUUGCUAGUGAAUGCAGCACCUGUAGCCACCGGGAUUCCCUCACCAAUAAAAGCGAAACCACCAAGAACAUUGUGCUCUUUGGAGAACAUGUGCAUGGAUCCACCCUGGCCUCUACAAUCAGCCUCCUUCAAGACCUCCCUUCUGUACUUGCUAGUGAAUGCAGCACCUGCAGCCACCGGGAUUCCCUCACCGAUAAAAGCGAAACCACCAAGAACAUUGUGCUCUUUGGAGAACAUGUGCAUGGAUCCACCCUGGCCUCUACAACAGCCCGUGGUCUUUCCAAAUAGCUCACUCAUCACUUGACGAGCUGGGACACCUUUACUCAAUGCAUGGACAUGGUCACGGUAAGUGCUAACUACAGAGUCUUCCUUCUUCAAGAGCUUAAUGAAACCAGUCGAGACAGCUUCUUGGCCGUUG
RNAcentral lists this long non-coding RNA (546 nucleotides) under Nicotiana benthamiana. RNAcentral describes it as "long non-coding RNA (NBEN_LNC022503)". The record is from RNAcentral. Lineage: Eukaryota; Viridiplantae; Streptophyta; Magnoliopsida; Solanales; Solanaceae.